GACGAACGCUGGCGGCGUGCUUAACACAUGCAAGUCGAACGGAAAGGCCCUGCUUGCAGGGUACUCGAGUGGCGAACGGGUGAGUAACACGUGGGUGAUCUGCCCUGCACUUCGGGAUAAGCCUGGGAAACUGGGUCUAAUACCGGAUAGGAGCCAUUUUUAGUGUGAUGGUUGGAAAGUUUUUUCGGUGUAGGAUGAGCUCGCGGCCUAUCAGCUUGUUGGUGGGGUAAUGGCCUACCAAGGCGGCGACGGGUAGCCGGCCUGAGAGGGUGGACGGCCACAAUGAGGCUGAGAGACGGACCAGACUCGUACUGGGGGCAGCAGGGGGGAAGAUUGCACGAUGGGCGCAGGCCUGAUGCUGCGACGCCGCGUGGGGGAUGACGGCGUUCGGGUUGAAGACUCAUUUCGCUAGGGACGAAGCUUUUUGUGACGGUACCUAGAUAAAAAGCACCGGCUAACUACGUG
This 465-nucleotide ribosomal RNA is filed under the name uncultured bacterium. Its description in RNAcentral is "partial 16S ribosomal RNA". It matches the Rfam family "Bacterial small subunit ribosomal RNA", at positions 28 to 507 of the family's 1533-position model. The record is from RNAcentral.